RNAcentral lists this ribosomal RNA (378 nucleotides) under uncultured bacterium. Its description in RNAcentral is "bacterial SSU rRNA". It matches the Rfam family "Bacterial small subunit ribosomal RNA", at positions 523 to 898 of the family's 1533-position model. The record is from RNAcentral.
AUACGCAGGGGGCGAGCGUUGUCCGGAAUUACUGGGCGUAAAGCGCGUGCAGGCGGCCCGGCAAGUUGGCUGUGAAAGCCCCCGGCUCAACCGGGGGAGGUCGGUCAAAACUGCCGGUGCUAGAGGAUGGGAGAGGGAGAUGGAAUUCCGGGUGUAGUGGUGAAAUGCGUAGAGAUCCGGAGGAACACCAGUGGCGAAAGCGAUCUUCUGGCCCAUCACUGACGCUCAGACGCGAAAGCUAGGGGAGCGAACGGGAUUAGAGACCCCGGUAGUCCUAGCCGUAAACGAUGUAGACUAGGCGUGGGCGGGUUCAAAUCCGUCCGUGCCGCAGCCAACGCGAUAAGUCUACCGCCUGGGGACUACGGCCGCAAGGUUAAA